AAAGUUAUUGCAAUUGUAAUUGAACUUGGCACGAGAGGAGCCGUGCAUUCGGAUAAUUAGUGUUUGGGCCUGCCUGAGCAGGCACUGACCCGAAGCUAUCAUCCAUUGGAUUAUGGCUGAACGCCUCGAAGUUAGAAGCCGUGUUAGAACGUGACGAUUGCUACCUUUUUCGAUUUUUAGUUGAACACAAAACGAGCUUCGGCUCCUAAAUCAUGCUAUGCUGGACCUUAUGUAGUGUCUUCUAAUGUUGGAAGAGAUAAAUCCAUUGCAGACCACUUUUAAACAACGGUGUACUGAAAGCUGUAGAGUAAGUCUUGUUACUACGAUCGGUUCAGGUUAAGCACUUUGUUGUAAAAAAUU
Molecule: ribosomal RNA, 360 nt
Organism: Lobosporangium transversale
Lineage: Eukaryota; Fungi; Mortierellomycota; Mortierellomycetes; Mortierellales; Mortierellaceae
Rfam family: Eukaryotic large subunit ribosomal RNA
Source: Rfam